CUGCUCAGGGUUAAGGAUCUGAUGUUGCCAUGAGCUGUGGUGUAGGUCACAGAUGUGGCUCAGAUCCUGUGUUGUUGUGGCUGUGGCUGUGGCUGGCAGCUGUAGCUCCAAUUCCACCCCUAGCCUGGGAACCUCCAUAUGCUGCUGGUGCAGUCUUUAAAAAAAAAAAAAAAAAGCAAUUAAAAAAAAAAAUCACCCAAACCAAAAUCAAAACCCCAAAACCUGACCUAAAAAGCCAUAAAAUGUGUGGUAGAGGGUUCACCUGAGCCUAAGGUGGGACUCUGGCACCAUGGGCUUCUGACCUGCACUGUCAGGUGAGCUGGGGGAGAAGGAUGAGGGAGCCGGGCACCGUGAAUGUGACCCUUGGUUUCUUCGUCUGUACAGAUGGUGGUUGCCUUGCCUCCCUCCCUCUAACACCGUGAGAUCAAAUGAGAUAAGCAUUAGGUGGUGACAGCAUUGGAAGAAGUAGCUGUGAAUCAGGGAUUGAUUGAUUGAUUGAUUGAUUUGUCUUUUAGGGCCACACCCGUGGCAUAUGGAGAUUCCCAGGCUAGGGGUCAAAUCAGAGGUGCAGCUGUCGGCUUACACCACUGCCACAGCAAGGUGGGAUCUGAGCCAAGCCUGCGACCCACACCACAGCUCAUGACAACGCUGGAUCCUUAACCCAAUGAGCGAGGCCAAGGAUCGAACCUGCAUCCUCAUGAAUGCUAGUGGGUUUGUUAACCCCUGAGCCACGACCGGAACUCCGAAUCAGGGAUUUAUUAUUAUCCUCAUUGAUUCAGAUGAUCUGCCCCAUGCGAGGAAAGCUCCGGAUGCAGGGCUACACGGGUCUCCCUAAAAUAGGCCUUCUUUUCCAGGGCAGGAGUCCCCCAUCAUCCAAAGAUGCAUCUCACCCUCUGCUUUUUCUCUCUGAUUGCUCCAGCUCCGAAGCCCUCUGAAGUGCAUGGCUUCUUCCUUGCUGCAACCGCUUCCUGACCCUCCCCUGUGGCUUCCCAUCCAGGCUCCCCAACACUCAGACCAGCACCGUCCUCCACUGCCAAAGCCAAGGCCACCAGAGCUGGUAUUGGGAGAAAAGGUUGCCCAUGAUGUACUGGGAGCCUGGUCAGUGAUUCAGAAGCAGAGGGAUGCAAGAGAGAGCUUUGGAGGUCAGCCAACAGAUCCCUCAAAACACAGAUGCUCCAUUCUUCUUUAGUCUAUGGGGCAGCCCCUUCUGAAUCUGCAGAUCACGGAAUGUUACUAGGCAAGCCAUGGGUGCCCCGCUCUCCUCUCCGGGGUUUAGGAGUGAGGGCUCCCAAGCUUGCUGGACACAAGGUCUGUAUCCAAGAUUCAGGUGAAUUUUUAUAUACUAGAAACAAAUUAGCAGAAAUAAAAAUUGGGGAGAGGUAAGAAGGGAUUGGGAG
RNAcentral lists this long non-coding RNA (1397 nucleotides) under Sus scrofa (pig). RNAcentral's name for it is "lncRNA (ENSSSCG00070009377.1)". Lineage: Eukaryota; Metazoa; Chordata; Mammalia; Artiodactyla; Suidae. The record is from RNAcentral.